RNAcentral lists this long non-coding RNA (229 nucleotides) under Lathyrus oleraceus (garden pea). RNAcentral describes it as "Pisum sativum (pea) long non-coding RNA (PSAT_LNC012971)". The record is from RNAcentral. Lineage: Eukaryota; Viridiplantae; Streptophyta; Magnoliopsida; Fabales; Fabaceae.
AGAAGAAGGGCAUCUGGUGGAUCCGGGGCAAGUUGUUUGACCAGUUGAGAUAACUCAGACUGAGGUUGAGUCUGAACCAGUGCACUUGUGGAGUGUUGUCCGGUAAACUACUGAGGUUUAUUGUGAACGAAGGAGGAAUCGAGGUUGGAAAAAAAAAAACAAAAAAAAACAAAAAAAAAGAGGAAAAAGAAAGAAAGAGAAGAAAGAGCAAUACAUAAAAUGCUUGAAC